Long non-coding RNA from Acyrthosiphon pisum (pea aphid), 791 nucleotides. RefSeq lists it as uncharacterized. The transcript has 4 exons. The record is from RefSeq and is a predicted model, not a curated record. Lineage: Eukaryota; Metazoa; Arthropoda; Insecta; Hemiptera; Aphididae.
ACGAGAUCCGCAACCCGAUAUGAGUUCCACUGAGUUCAUUACGGUGUGUCCAUGGUGUUUUUCUCACACUGGUUUACGGCACAGCCGCCGACCAAAAAUCAAAAUUGAACAGAAAUCGUACAUCUACCGUUAAAACCCACUACCACUGCAGUACCGCACUACUUUGUUUCUAUCACUUAAGCAAUAUAGGUACAACUGUGUUAAGUAUAAUAUAUAUUAUGUUCGUUUACAUACGAGUAAAAAUUGAUUGUCACGGUGACCAGUUUUUUUUUAAUGUAUAAUAAUAUAUUAUACUUCGUACCUAUUGUUGUUGUUGUUUAUGGACGAAUACUCGUUGCCAAGUGACCGACUUUACCACGACCCUUUUCCGUAUACAUACGGUCUGCCUCAGUGCAUCAGCACAGUAUAGGGAAAAAAUGUACACAGCUAGUAGUACCUACCUAUAGGCUAUAACUGGCUGUAAGAGAAUGCAUUCUAAUCUGAUUUUUAAGUCCAACAAAAAUAUUAAGUGUUCUAAGUGGUGGCCAUGGGAUAGAUGAAGAUCCUCCAGCCAUUAACACAGAAAUACUGUUAGAAUCUGGUGAUAAAGGUUUAUUCUUGUGGAUAUAUUACAGGACCGUAUAUACAGUUUUAUAUAAUGAUGGCACAACCGAUUUUAUACACCCUGAGGAUAUAUAGGUACAGUGAAGAUGAGCAGGGUAUGGGCCGUUUAAAUCUGCAAGACAAGCGCGGGUUAAAAAAAUAUCUAAAAGAAAAGUAAAUAAUUGAUGUUUUAUAAAUGUAUUUACUGU